Chelonoidis abingdonii (Abingdon island giant tortoise) is the source of this 176-nucleotide unclassified non-coding RNA. The record is from Ensembl. NCBI's taxonomy places the organism in Eukaryota, Metazoa, Chordata, Testudines, Testudinidae.
GUGACAGUCCUGGAGAAUAAAGCCCUUUACUUAUCCACAGAACAGAUACAGCAAGCCCAAAGAUAAACGAGUCUCACAGCCCUGCUGUCGUCAUCCUCCCGCAGCAGUGAUGUGAGAAACCACCCUCAGGAAAUAAGAUGUAUUUAGUCCCCACAACCAUUCAGUUCUUGGUCUUU